This 1452-nucleotide long non-coding RNA is filed under the name Chrysolophus pictus (golden pheasant). RNAcentral describes it as "lncRNA (ENSCPIG00010006035.1)". Lineage: Eukaryota; Metazoa; Chordata; Aves; Galliformes; Phasianidae. The record is from RNAcentral.
CGCAUAUAUUCCUUUUUAUUCUUUCAGAAGCGAGUGUGCAAGCCCUUAGAAGCUGUUCCAAAUGAGGUCGAUGCUCGCCUCAUUGACUGUGCUAUGGAGCUGGAUUCUAAACAGAAAGUCUCCUCUGGCUGUGGUCCUUGGGCUACAAAGACAAAGCAAAGCUCUAUGAUUUUUGAAAACCAAGGAAGCAGAGGUACUGCCCAGCCUUGCCCGAGAUGUAUUGCUGGAGAAUCUGGACACUUCAGUCACAUCCUGGGCUGCUAGAGAUGGACAGACUGCAGAUAAGCAAUGCUGCUUCCCCUGUUGGAGUCUGGAAAUGCACCUGUGGGCAGCGUACAGCUGGAGUACGUUCACUCGUGGCAAACAUUCAGCAUGCUGCUCUAUGUGUUACUCCUCCAUCACACAGUUGGAUGCCACUGUUUUUACACUUGAAAAAAUGCUUUUGUACUUAAGGUAUCUCAUAUGUAUGAAAGAAUAUGUUUUUGAUUUAACUUUUUGGAGCAGUUAAGCUGAUUUGGCCUUUGGCCCAUUCUUCACCUGGCACUGGACCAAAGGCCAUACUGAUAAAAGUAUUUCACUGUCUCACUCAGGCACUUUCUCUGAUGCUCAUGAAGGUUGUCCUUGUGUUCACAUUGGUACUGGGCCUGCGCUUUUGGCUCAAUUGUAUAUAAACAGGCAGAAAUGGGAGGACUCUUCAGCUCUAGAUAGAGAGCUGAUCAGCUUGACAGCUAUGCAAAGGCCAGUGAAAACCCUACUGAAACUUAUUUUGUUGUAAAAUCCAGAAUAUGCAUCCAUUUCAGGUAUCUUUCCUACAUGUCAAACUCUAACUUGAUUUACAAUAAGCACAGUUUGUGAAUGUGACAGAUAACUAUCUGAAAGAAAAAAAUCAGUGUUAUUUGAACAACAUUAUGAUGCAAAGGUGAGCGGUGCUUCAGAUCUACGCAGUCUCUCAAAUUGCUGAAGAUACCAUCUGAUGCUCUGGGAUUCCUUUCUUUCCAACUGUUGUGAUACUAGAACAGGUCUGUUUCAGCUUGUUACCCAACUUGAUCUUAUUGGCUUGCCACAGAUAAUUUAAUCAACAUUUGGGCAGUCUGCAAUCCUAUGUAAUUUUUAAACACCUGCAGGUUUUAAACUUUUAAGGCAUCCAAGUUGUGUUAUUUGGAUGUGACACUUCAGUGGCUGCUCUGGAAUGGAGCUGGCUGCUGUCCAGAACAGAAUAGCAGUAUGCUUACCUUAUGCAUUGGAUAGAAAUUGCUGUGACCUGCCAAAGCUCAGGAAGAAAGCAAUCUCCACUGACAGGAGAAGUGUCCCCUGUUCCCAUGGAGCCUUUGGGCAGGGUUCAGCCCACCAGCAGCAAGGCAGGCAGAACAGCUUCCAGCCUCUCCUGCUCUGAGGGCAGGUCUCAGUGUAGAUUAAAAUGGUAGAUCUGGAGCUGCAAAAGUCUAGUAACAA